Molecule: transfer RNA, 68 nt
Filed under: Acetobacter tropicalis
Lineage: Bacteria; Pseudomonadati; Pseudomonadota; Alphaproteobacteria; Acetobacterales; Acetobacteraceae
Also listed under: 1 other name
Description: tRNA-Thr
Source: RNAcentral
GCUGACAUGGCUACGUCUUUCCCUUGGUAAGGGAGAGGUCGACAGUUCAAUCCUGUCCAGCAGCACCA